RNAcentral lists this ribosomal RNA (253 nucleotides) under uncultured bacterium. RNAcentral describes it as "partial 16S ribosomal RNA". It matches the Rfam family "Bacterial small subunit ribosomal RNA", at positions 524 to 776 of the family's 1533-position model. The record is from RNAcentral.
UACGUAGGGGGCUAGCGUUGUCCGGAUUUAUUGGGCGUAAAGAGCGUGUAGGCGGCCGAGUAAGUCCGGUGUGAAAACUCGAGGCUCAACCUCGAGAUGUCGAUGGAAACCGUCUGGCUAGAGUCCGGAAGAGGAGUGUGGAAUUCCUGGUGUAGCGGUGAAAUGCGCAGAUAUCAGGAAGAACACCUAUGGCGAAGGCAGCACUCUGGGACGGUACUGACGCUGAGACGCGAAAGCGUGGGGAGCAAACAGG